AACCAUGCAGUGUGGCUUGCAGUACAGAGAGGAGGAUCUGGUAUAAGUAAGCAAGUGUACUCAUCAGCAAAGCAUCCAGCAUUCCAGCUAGCGAGCAGCUAGUACUAGAAUCUAUAUAUCGUACACAAGUAGUGGAGGCAUCUAUCUGCAGUCCCUUUCUUCUUCCUCUCGAUUGAUAGGUGCAUCGUCGAUCGAAGCUUAUUUGUUUUCUUGGGUGGCCUUUGUCUCUGUCUGCCGGCCAGCCACCAAGCUAUUAAGUCCAUCCAGCGCCAAGCAGCUCACAGAGAUCGGUCGACGACGGGGACAAUUCGGAGCUAGCUAGGGAGGAUCGGAGGAGAAGGACACCAUCAACGACGCCUGGCCGGCCGCUGCCGUAGGGGAGGAAGAUCGAGGAGGCCGAUCGACGACACCGAUGGACGAUCAUCUUCAUCAUCAGUUGAUGGCGACACCGGCAGCAGCAGCAGCAAGCAUGUGCGGCAGCAAGAGCAAGAAGCUGCAGGGCGGUGGUGGUGGUGAGCAUCGUAGUAGUAGGGGCAGCGGCGGCGGCAACAGUCCGCCGGCGGCGAUGAGGAAGGGCCCGUGGACGGAGGAGGAAGACGCUCAGCUGGUAUGGUUCGUCCGCUUGUUUGGUGAACGCCGGUGGGAUUUCUUAGCAAAGGUCUCAGGUUUGCGCGGUGGCGGGUGAAUCCCUAAGCAUCAUGCAUAUAUACAUAUAUGUAUAUAUAUACAUGCGUGCUUGGGGGAAUGAUGUAGGCUAUGGCGAUGGGUGUUAAUUAACCAGUUUUUUUUUCCUUGUUUUUUCUCUCCUUCUCCUUCUCUGUGCAUGCGCAUGUGUCGGCGUACUUAUAUAUGCAGGUCUGAGGCGCACCGGCAAGAGCUGCCGCCUACGGUGGGUCAACUACCUCCACCCGGGGCUCCGGCGCGGCCGCAUCACCGCCGACGAGGAGCGCCUGAUCCUGCAGCUCCACGAGCAGUGGGGCAGCCGGUGGUCGCGCAUCGCUAGGAGCCUGCCCGGGCGCACCGACAACGAGAUCAAGAACUUCUGGAGGACGCGCGCCAGGAAGCAGAAGGCGGCGGCGCAGCAGCAGCAGGGCAGCCGGAGCAGCAAGACGGCGUCGGCGUUCUCGGGGUCGUCGUCGUCGUCGUCCGUGACAGCCACCACGUCCAGGUCCAGCUGCUCUGGCUCUCCGAGUCCGAGUCCGAGUCCGAGCAGCGGCGGCUGUGGCGGCACGGCCACCACGUCAUCUUCUGCCGUGACCGAGUCAGCGCUGCGGCAAAGCAGCGGCGGCGACAACGACGACGAGGACGCCGAGCUCGACGAGGCGUCCACCACCACCGCCGCAAGGCAACAUCAGUAUCAUCACCAGCAGCAGCAGCAGGAGUGCUACGCCUCUGACCACUUCUUCUGGAACGACAUCGCGGCGGCGGAGGCGGCGAGCUACAUGUUCAUCGACGGCUUGGCAGGAGCCGGUCCCGGUGGUCAUCCCGCAACCGCAGAGGUGGGCGCGGAGCCGCCUUCGUCGCCGACGUGGGAGUACUGCUCGGAUUACUCGCUCUGGAGGAUCGACGACAACGAGUACUACAAGAAGAUGCUCGACUCCUCCUGAUUUCAUCAGGAGCCAUCUAUAUAUGCAUAUCGAUCAUUAGCUUAUUUGUUUUCUGCUGUUUAGUCUAGCAGCUAUAUGAAUUCAAACGUUCGCCUUUAAUAUUUCGUUGCAUCUGUUCGUAUGUUAUAUGUAAUAAUAUACUAAGUACAUAUAUGUAUUUGCAUCUGCAUACUGUAACUACAUAGUAUAUAUCUACACGUAGUGACGUACUUUGAAGCAUAUAUAUGUGUGUACGAAACUACGGUGCAUGCAUCUGCAUACUGUAUCAUAUUGUACGAAACAUGUCAUUAUUAUUGUCUUGUGAUUUCUGAAAGAAUCAGUUGAAACUCGACAACAAUUGUAGGGUCAUGCUGCUUCUAUAUAUGUAUAUUCAUGUAAUAAGAUUAUAAGUGAUUAUGAGAUUAAUUUGUAUAUGAGAUCUUCUGUAGUUUCUGAGCAACUAUGUUUGUCCUGAAUCUCUUAUGCCUCAGCAACCUCUCUACUUUUUUUUUGAGGUAACCUCUCUACUUAUUUUAGAGGAUUAUAUAUAAUGGUGGAAGGAAAAUACUGCACAUGUACGCUUCAAUACUGAGUUACUGACCCGACAACUUCAUUCACCACCAAAUAAUUAAACUAAACAUGAAGCAAAAGACAUGUUUGGAUCAUCCUUGAUAUUAUAAUCAGACAAAAAUAAUUUCUAGGUGAUCCAAACAUCCUAGAUUAUGAGCUUGAUUAUAAUAACCUAACUUAAAUAGAUUAUUGUAAUCCUAUAUAAUCCAUCUAAAACUUACUCCUAAGCCAUAACAGGAGAGUACUAUAGAUGAGUGGGAAAUAAUAAUCUAGUACCUAUAUAUACAAUCUAGGACAAUUUAAAAAAAAAACCCAGAUUAUUACAACUAAUCCUUAUCACAACUCAUCAGAUUCUAAUAACCCAAAAGUGAUGCAAACAUGCCAUAAGGACUUGUUUAUAAUUAGUUACAAUACUCAAGUAAUCUUGCCUGGUGCUCUGUGCAACCUGAGGCAGGCCAUGGCCAUGAACCAAAUAGGCUUUAAGUGCGCUGCGGGUCUCUAAGCUAGAAUCUGCACAUCUCGGAACUUUUACACUCCAAAGCUCUAAAUUUUGAAUUUUCGUCCAAGAAACUAAAAACAAAGAUCCUUAAUCCUAUAACUGCAAACAGGGUUACAGGGAGGUGCAAUGUGCAUGCAUGGGAAUCUAUAACUAUAUAUCUAACUAAAUUGAUUGAUGCCAUGGAAUGGAAUGGAAUUGGAAUUGGAAUGAAUAUGAUGGAAGGAACAAGGCAAGGCCCGUGCAUUGCAGCUAGCAUCGUCAAAAUAAACCAUCCAUUUCCAUUCCAAAGCUACGGCCAAUUGGCCAUUGGCCCGGAGUGAGCGCUUACUUUUCAGACCGUGCCACGUACGCGCAGGUCCCAAUCCCACCUUUUUCCGUGCAUCGAUCGCAUCCACCAUGCACCUUUCCAUAUCCCAAAUAGUACUUGCUAUUUGACAACACACCAAGAACGAUUAGUUAGCAGACUAUCUAGUAAUAGAAUAUAGUGUAUUACAACUUUUAAAAUUUGUACUAAAAUAUAUAUUUGUACGUGGUGCCAAUACACAUAUUUAUCAAAGUUUGUCCAAACGGAAACUAAUUUAAGAAGAAACUCCUUAAUUGGGUUUAACCUAUGGGUAAAUGUGUAAAUGUAUCAUUCGAGUAUUCUCUCUAGCUGUCUUAAAAUUUCUGAAAUGCACCGAUGAUGGAGGGAGUAGUAAACUAAAGCUAAUCGCACAUUUAUUAUACCACAUGAGUUUUUUGUGGCCCACAUGUCAACCACAAAGUGUAGGUAGCCUUGCAAAGUUGCAAGUUGGAGCGCUAUGUAGAGAAAGUAGAAUGAAAAUAGUGGCAGAAAGCUAUAGUGAUAAUAGGAAUGCUCGCAUAUAAGUACCUUACCUAGUUUGUUUGUUCCUUUUUAAAAUUGCUACACUUAGCUUAGACCCAACCUAAUUCAGAAUGAGCAUGAUCUUGAUGAAUCACUAACAUACUUGGCCGUAUAGCUCCUAUCGUCCAGCUUUGUCCUUUCGUGAAGACUUUUGUCGUCCUAGCUCCUAAUCCUAACUUAGCAUUAUCGUUGUGCUUUCUUUUACAUCCACUAGUUGUUCAUCACAACCCUUUUUUCAGACACAAACAAGGCCAUUUUUAAAAUGUUGAGUCGCUCAUGGUGAAGUACUAGACAAUAUUUUUGUAAAACAAACAUGACCAUAAGACUUUGGAUGUUGUGAGCAUUUUUAGUGCAUAGAUCUGAGACUGGUAUCUACAAGCAAGUUUUAUGCUUGUAUUAGUAGAUAGAUUUGAGAUUGUAUCAUGGACAUCGAACUUACCACCCUUCCUAGAGAAAUGCCCCCAAUAUCUCUAAUAAGCCAUGGAAAAUCCUAGCUAAUUCCUUUCUAAGCUAUUGAGAAGCUCAUGUUGAAAACAAUUUGGUUGCCACGACAAUAAUGCUCAACUAUGAGCCAAGGACUUUGAUAGUGACACGAGUGGAAGAGAAAUAAUUUGGUCAUGAUUAUGCAUAAGCAUUUUAAGCCUAGCCCACCAAUGCCCAAAACUCACCCAUGGUCCAUGCUAAAAAAAAGUAGGCUUUCUCGAGCUAUUGGAAUGCUUAAGCUAGGCUAGUAGGCUUGAAACAAAUUAGGCUGAGCCCAAGCCCAACCCAACGCACAUUUCCUCAUUUCCCUGUAUUUUGCUCCACGAGCCGUCCUUGUCUUGCUCCUCUGUAUUGCCCUUGCUACGUACUUCCAAUUAACACACUAUCCUAGUUUGUUUGUUUUUUCAAACCGAGGGUUGAACCCCAUUUCCAUUAUGAAGAUAACGAAAAUUCAGUUUGUUGAGGGUAGCAACAGACAUCAAGAAGCUAGAACUGCAGGACAUUAAGGCCUUGUUUAGUUUCACACUUUCACCCAAAAAAUUCAAAAUCUUUUAAGAUUCUCCGUCACAUCGAAUCUUGCGGCAUAUGCAUGGAGCAUUAAAUAUAGAUAAAAAAUACAGUAACUAAUUGCAUAUUUUAGCUGUAAUUUACGAGACGAAUCUUUUAAACCUUGUUAGUUCAUGUUUGGACAAUAAUUACCAAAUAUAAACGAAAGUGCUACAUUACCAAAAAAAAAUUCAGCAAGGAAACUAAACAAGGCCUAAAGACUAGAACCUGAGCUUACCAAACCUGACGUCAACAGACUACUAAUGAAGUGAGAACCCCAAACGGGAGCCACAGAACAGACUCCAGAAACAACUUAACAAGUUUAAACGAGAAUAAGUAAGCAAGACAUAAUGAGCCUAUUACAAAAGUUAGCGGAUCCACAGCCGCUCCAGUUUUUUGGAUCAAAGAAUUUUGUCAAUCAGCUUGAUGGCUAUCAGUAUCACCCGCACCUUGCAGCAGCUGAGGAUCAUCACUCCGGGGCUUCUUGUUCAGCAGCUUAGUUGUAAUCCUUAGCAUGGUAUUGGCCCCUUCCUCCAGAGCCUCUCGGUCCAUUCCUGCAUAUAUGUACUGCCAAUAACUCAUAAGGGCACAUGACAUACAAUCGAGAUUGGAUUUUGAAUUAAUUGCCUUCAAAACACAGCUUAUUUCUAGCUUUCCAUAUUGCCCAGCAUGGCAGCAUAUGGUGGCUCAGGGAUGAAAACGGUACGGAUAUUUUCCGACCGUAUUCGAGACCGAAUUCGUUUAGAGGGGUUCAGAUCUGUCCGUAUCUGAGUCCGAAUAUUUAACAUCUGAUACCGUAUCCGUAUCCGAAUACUUAAAUCGUAUAUUUGUGAUGUCGAGAUCCAAUCAUAUCUUAUCCGACAUGCUAAUUAAUAACCAUAGCUUGUUUAGCUGUUGGCAUCACUCAUCAGUGGAUAUGCUUAGUGAUAAGCUAGACAUCAUCAUUCAGUAAUCGUCUAGAAGGUCUGAAAGAAUCACAUCGUUGACGUUGUUUAACGAUAAGCUGGCUAGCAAGGAUGGAUGAACGGAGUAGCAGAUGUCUGAUGAGAUGAUGAGGGGACUCCUCAGUAGUUAAGCGACUAAGAUUGCCUACCGUCUGAUCCUUUCGUUUCACUUUCUAUCAGAUAUUGAUAUGCAUGGAGUAAGCCUUGUUACUUUCAUAAUUAUCAGUACUUAUCAGUUAUACUGUUCAUGAUAAUUAAUUAAGGAUAUGACUACCAAAGCAAUGGUAACUAAUUAGCGUUGUGGAGACACAAAGUCACGAAUCUAUCCUGAAUCGACACUGAGUAGAGUGUCAUAUCUUGAAUUAUUCCUUAUUGUUCCGUGUAGGAGUUUCUUGUCCUCUGAAAGAAACAGGUGUCCCCAAUCUCACCAGCUGAUGUUCAUAGUUUUGAUACUUAUCAAUAUAGUAAAAACUAUGUAUACUUUAAACUUGGACCAUUAAUAUCUCUUCAGCUUGUCUAGUACUAAACUUUGGAAAUAAAAAGUGUAUCACUAGAUUUACUUGGAAAAUAGUACUCCCUUUGCUUUUUUUUACAAGGAGAAUUUUGUUUUAUAUUAUGAUAAGACUCCUUGGAUCGACAAUUAGUCUAUCUAGGAAUAUUUCAUCCAUCGGAUACAAAAUUGUGAUAAUGAGUAGGCAACUUUUAAAGAAGAAUGUAAUGGCAUAAAUUCUUCAUUGAAAAAAUUAUACAUUGGCAGAACAAAUCAGAACUUGUCCGAACCAAAUGAAAUAAGUCCUGUACAAUUUCAACUGAGGGAGUAUCACUUGACUAAUAAUAAGGGCAUCAAAGUGAUAAAUAAAGGCCCCUAAUUAAAGACCUUAAGUGUGUUUCUUAAACCCGCUCUCUACAUCAUCGUUUGGAGAGAACCAUGUGAAUAAAAAAAUUGUUCUUUAUAUAUAUCUUUCCACCCUCCAACAGUUAAAUAAACACAAUCGUCAUUUGGAGAAUCAUUUGAGGAAAAAAAACGUUCAAUAUAUAUAUAUAUAUAUAUAUAUAUAUAUAUAUAUAUAUAUAUAUAUAUAUAUAUAUAUAUAUAUAUAUAUAUAUAUAUAUAUAUAUAUAUAUCUUUCCGGCCUCCAAUAGUUAGAUAAAUACGAUAAUUAUUACUCUAUCCAUUCCAAAUUGUGAGGCGAUGAAAUCCCAACACUCUGAAUGCCAGGUAUGGACACUUAUUGUCUCUUGUUCUGACUAUAUCGAUAUCGAGCGCCAUCCAAAAUGGACACUUAUUUAUGACUGGAAUACUGGAUGGAGGAGAACAAUUACGUUAGAGUAUGCUAGAUAAAUACGAUAAUCUUAUUGCAAUUUAGAUAGAUGUGAUAUAUAUGGCCUCUAUCAUGCGGGCGGCACUGACGAUCGUCACCACGCACCAUUACGCACUAGCUAUCUCACCUGCUGCCUGCCUGCCUGCCUUCUCUCUGCUCAAUCUCUUAGCCAUCCAUCCAUCCAUCAUGCGCCAUAUCCUCCACCACCAUGCAUUAUACUAUGUGCUCUAUGCUAGCCCAACUACCCAAGUGGACCUCAUAUAAAGGGGAGGCCAGCUGAGCCCAGGGAAUCAAGCAAGCUGUUUCCCCCUGUUGUUUCUUCUUCUUCUUCCUCAGCUCCUUCUUCCUCUCGAUCGAUCGAUCGAGCAUCCAAGCUUGGUCUUUGUUUCUGUCGCUGGAGGAGGUGUAGAUAGCUAGCUAGCAACCGACCGAUCGAUCGACCAUGUCGUCGUCCUUGUUGUGUAGGCGCAGGAACCACAAGAAGGACGGCGAUGGCGAGCAUCAGAUCAUCAUCAGCACCAGCACGCCGGCGGCGAUGAGGAAGGGCCCGUGGACGGACGAGGAGGACGAGCAGCUGGUACGGUUCGUGCGCCUCUUCGGCGAACGCCGAUGGGAUUUCUUAGCAAAGGUGUCAGGUUUGCGCGGUGGCGGGUGCGUCGAUCGAUCUUCCUCCAUCCAUGCCUGCCCUGCCAUCUGCAAUUCUGCAUGCAUGCGUGCAUGAGAUUGAGGAGGAUCGGUCGACACAGUGAGAUCUCCAUCGAGCAGUGUCGUUAACCAUUUGCUUCUUCUUCGUCUGUCUUCUUUGUUCUCCCUCUCUGCAUCCAUCAUGCUGCAUGCGGCUCGAUCGAUCGAUCUUGUGGUGGAUGGAUGGACGUGCAUGCGUGCGUGGUGGUGGUACGUGCAGGUCUGCGGCGCACCGGCAAGAGCUGCCGCCUCCGGUGGGUGAACUACCUCCACCCGGGCCUCCGGCGAGGCCGCAUCACCGCCGACGAGGAGCGACGCAUCGUGGAGCUCCACGCGCAGUGGGGAAGCAGGUGGUCGCGCAUCGCCAGGAGCUUGCCCGGACGCACCGACAACGAGAUCAAGAACUUCUGGAGGACAAGGACCAGGAAGAAGGCUCUCGAGGAGAGGAGGGCGGCAGGGGCGGCUGCGGCCGUGACAGCGACGGCGGAGCCUGCUGCGUCGUCGUCGUCCUCGGUGACGAUGAUAUCCGAGUGCCGCCCCGGAUCCCCCAACAGCGGCGCCGCCACCACGUCGUCCUCGUCGGGGGGUUCGUCGUCGUCGCUGCGGGAAGAGCGCCCCGGCGACGAGGACGCCGAGCUCGAGGAGGCGUCCACGGCCACCACCGCGGCAGGGACAACCAAGCAGCAGCAACAGCAACAGCAGCCGUUGCCGCAGGAGUACUACGACGGUUGCUCCACCAUGGACCAGCUGUGGAACGAGAUCGCGGCAGCCGACGCUGCGGCGAUGAGCUACGUCGUCGACGCCUGCUGGAACGGAGCUGGUCAUUAUUACUAUGGCGCUGCGGCCGCUGAGCCGCCGCCGGCGUCGCCGCCGUGGGAGUACUGCGGCCCAGACUUUUCGCUCUGGAGGAUCGACGACCAAGAGUACUACAAGAAGAUGCUCGACUCCUCCUGAUAUCCGAUUCAUGGCGUAUCCAUCAAUCAUCUACACGCGCUUGUGUGCUCUGUGAAUUUCCAAGCGAGGAACGAAUUACUUAACGGUAGGGAUGGUAGAUUAUCAUCUAUCGUCUUAGACUAAUUAAUUAGUAAGAGCUUAUGAAUCUAUGAUGAGAGCGAAGUAGAUCAUGCAUGGUGGUGAGAUGAGAGCGCUUUGUAUUAAUGGUGGUUAAACUAGUGUGAUCGACUGAUGAAUAUAAUAUAUAUGUAGUUUGCAUUUGUCUUAAUCGAUUGAUCGAUCUCUGAUCGACGGUACUUGUAUAUUAUGUAACCUAGCUUUACUUAUUGGUUAUAUUACUACUUGUUGUGGCUUAAAAGAUGGAUGAUAUGAAAUCUGUCGGUGAGUUUUACCAUGUGCAUUUGCAGUUAUAUGUUGCACUGAUUAUUAGUAGUAGUAUUAGGUGCGGUGACAAAAGUAUAAGCUGAGAGCAAGCAGAACAAUGAUCAAUUGUGAUUUCACCAAAGCGAGUACAGGGUAUAUAUAUAUAUAUAGAUUCUCACUCCAUUUUUGCUCUAUAUAUGUGCUACUUAUCAUAAGUUCAUAACACUGAAGAAAACACAAAACGAAAAUGAAAAAUUUAUGUCAUGCAACAAGGAAAAGAAGAUCCAUCAGAAGUUCACUAAAGCUUGCCUUGACUGAAACGGCAUAUAUUCAUCAUUAGGAGCUAAUAACGAAAGUGUUUCUCAUCAUCAUGGAAUUUCAGUUUGACCGCUCCUGAUGAACACGUGUCAAUAUAUAUGCAGACUCUUGCAAAGAAAAUAAAUAACAGAAUCGUAGAGACUACAGAAUCUGCACCAGAGAAAUUGAAAUUUAUACCACAAAAUUCCAUAUUCGAAGAGAGUGCACGCAUGAUAGAUGCAUCCAUGCAUGCAUGGCGGCGGUGUGGUUGAUUGCUUGCUGCAUGGGAAUCUAAUAAUGGGACCCUAGCUCCCAGCAUCUUUGAUAUAUCGAAGAGAUGCUUGGUGAGAGAUGCAAGAGCAGCAGGAGGAGGAAGAAGAGCAGCAGGGAGGCUAGCCUAGCGCCAUUGUUGGUGCAGGUCCCUAUCCAAGCUUUUUCCUUGCGUGUGCUGCCACCUUUCCAUAUCCCUCUAAUCGUGUCAGAUUCCAAACCCCAUCGUCGCAAACUAAUAACACUAGAUUUGAUACUAUAUAGCAAGUGUAUGUGAUGAGAGUGAUCGAUGGAGAUUAGUGGGUGAACCACAUCACCUGUACGUGGGGCCAUAUCCUGGACAAUGAAAAUGCUACACGCACACACACACAAAAAACAAAACAAAAUAGUAUCUAGGUAAAUGCCCAUUUAAGUUACUGCACAUCAGCCUUUUUGUUCCUUUUGUUUCCUGUUUUUGGCUAGUGUUUUGUUUGCUCUUCCUUCUAAUAAUAUAGCGUGACAAAAUCUCUUGUAGUCCUUUUGGAACAAAACCAUGUUUGCCUGACCUCCUAAACUUUGCUUUUCACUAUCUAGCAUAAAACCAUCAGGAAUUACUGAAAUAUAUUUAGGAAUGAUGCAAUUCCAGAUAGCAAACCAUGAGGAAUAUGCCGACAUGAGCUGGUAAUCAGGACUUUAUUUACUCUAAUCCUAUGAUUUCUUAAAAUCAUAUCAAUAUUCAGCUUUGCUUGUCAGCCAAUUUCCGUUUUCACCUGCUUGGAUUAGUCUUCAUGGAUCACUGCAGGUCCAAACCUAGCAUCGUUGCUAGCUAGAAUUAGAGCCAACAGAGGGUAAUCGGUAGUGAUGAGCUUCAACAUCUUCCUAGACUCAGCAAUGGUAGGAAGAUUGAACAAACAAAUGUGCAUCCAAUGUCAUCAUAUGGACUCGGAACAUAAGAUGUUUUGGUAGACUAACUUUGUGUGACUAAUACCAAACAUCAUAUAUAUAUAUAUAUAUAUAUAUAUAUAUAUAUAUAUAUAUAUAUAUAUAUAUAUAUAUAUACACACACACACUAAAUUGUAGUUGCCUACGCUUUGCCAUAGUGACCUUAGAUUGUAAGUGAAGGCUAAGCAACUCCAUCGGUUCUUCUAUCCUCUUUCCACUACGGGAAACUGCUGAUUUGCCGGGUGUAAAAUAGUUUGCCGGAAGCUUUUUAUCGGGCACCCGGCAAAGGCAUUCUUUGCCGGGUGCCGGACAGAGAGGCUCCCGGCAAAAAGAAACACCCGACAAAGUUCAGCCAUCGGCAAAAUUUAUUCUUUGCCGGGAGCCGCCACUCGGCAAAAUAUGACUGUCGGUAAAGUCGAUCGGCGUGAAGGCAGCCACCUGUCGUCAGCCUUUGCCGGGUGCCACACCGUUAGGCACCCGCCAAAGGUUUUCUAUUUUUUUUUUUUGAAAAAAGUCUUCCCAGCUUUGCCGAGUGCCAGGGCCAGGCCACUCGGCAAAGAUUUCUUUUAAAAAAAUUAGAAAACCCUUUACUGGGUGCUGGCCGCCGGCAAAGAAAUUCCAAAAAAAAUCUAAAUUCUUUGUCAGGUGCCUCUGUCAUGGCACCCGGCAAAGAAUCAGCAGACGGGAUCGCGCCGUGACGGUCACUUUUCUUUGCCGGGAGCCGGGCGCGGCUCCCGGCAAAGACUUUGCCGGGUGUUCGACAAAAAGCUCCCGGCAAAGACUCCUUGGCCGGGUCGUUUUUUGCCGGAGGCUCUUUGCCGGGUUCUACACCCGGCAAAGCACCUGAAUCCUGUAGUGUUCCCUCAAAUUGUCCUAUAGGGAUUGAGGAAACUGAAUUACAAGAUAUAGGGGAGGGCUGCUAGCUGCAGCAGAUUGAGGAAAAUUCAUCACCUUUAUUAUGUGUACCCACAUGUCAGUGGCGGACAGGGGAGGAAAAGGGGUUGCUUGCUCCCUCUAUUUGAUGAAUUGAGGGAUUGAUACAAAAAUAUAGGGAAGAGGAAUUGAGAAAGGGGGCUUGGUGGAGUAGUUUUUCACCUCAUUUCACUUUAUGACAAUUUUUUAGGAAAAGGAGAUUGCUUUUCUCCAUUUGGUGGAGUUGCUCUAAUGACCUUAUUUAAGAAACAAGGAUAAAGAGACCAAAUCAAAGAUUAAGGGUCACAAUGCGAGCAUCAUUUAGGGGAACAAAUUUUAAUGGACUUUUUAGAAAAAAAAGCUUCAUAUAUAUAUAUAUAUAUAUAUAUACUUUUUCCGUAAAACCCCCAUGCUACAACCAUGGUGGUUCAUAAAAUUCUUUUUUUUCAAUCACAUGCAAGUAACUAAGUAAGCAACACCUAAGUGACACAACCAUUAUAUAUGAUCUCCUUAUUAUAAUAAGAGGCUCAGAGGAAGAUGAGUGUUUUGAAAGCCUAUCAACAAUUUUUUUUUCAGACUCCAAAACCAACGAGAUUAAAGUUUGAAAUUUAAGAUUCAGAGUUUAGGGUUUCACCAACAUGAGCUAGCAUCUCCAAGAGUUUUUCUUAAACUCACUCUUUAAAUCCUCAGUUGGAGAGCCAUUUUUUGUAUAAAAAUCGUUUUCUAUAUCUUUCCACCUUCUAUCAGUUUCUCUAUAUCUUGUCUGCACUUUGGAUAGCCAUCCCCACUCUUCAUCUUUAACUAGGCCUUGUUUAGUUCCAAAAAAAAUUUAUAAAAAUUUUCAGAUUCCCCGUCACAUCGAAUUUCGCGGCACUUGCAUGAAACAUUAAAUAUAGAUAAAAGAAAUAACUAAUUACACAGUUUAUCUAUAAUUUGUAAGACAAAUUUUUUUAGCAUAGUUAGUUUAUAAUUGGACAAUAUUUAUCAAAUACAAAUAAAAUGCUACAGUAUCCAUUUUGCAAAAAGUUUUGGAACUAAACAAGGCCCUAGUAAGAAAACAGGAACAGAAUGAAGAUGGCAAUAUUUGAAGAUCUAAUUGAAAAGCCGUUGAAAUGCUUUUUUCACCAAAUUAAAAUCUCUAUUCUUAUCAAUAUGCAUGGAAGGAUAUAUGUAACACCCUAACAUUUGCUUGUUUUUAAAUAGUUGAAUUUGAUUUUAUAGUCAAUUUUGUGAGCAUCAAAAUAUAGGAAAAAUAAAUAAAUUUGGAGAAUUAAAAAAAUUAAUAUAAGUUUAGAAAAUUUUUGAUGCAUACAUGUUGGUGCUUUUUUAUGGUGAUGAUUGUUUUAAAAACAAAAUGUCUAUGUGCUUAAAAAUUCAAUUGGAAAAUGCAUGUAGAAAAUGUAUUUGAAAAAGAAAAUGAAUUUUUUUCCCUCCCCCUUCUCCUCUCGGCCUGCUCGGCCCAGUCCCCCACACCCCCCCCCCGCGCCCCCUCUCUCUUUCCUGGGCCGCGGUCCAGCCGGCCAUUUUCCCCCUUCCCCUCUCCUCACCCGCUGACAGGCCGGGCCCGCCUGUCAUCCCUCUCCUCCAUCCAAACCGCCUCCUCCCUCUCUCCCGAUUCUGCAGAACCGCUGCACCCCGCUCCCACUUCCCCCACGACUCCUUUCUCCCUCGCGUUUUGCUCAUUUGGAAGAGCGUCCGCGCCCGAGCCGCCCUCCCCCCUCCCCUCAUUUCACUUCCCUCGCAUCUGCUCCACUUGCGCAAGCACCGAAAACCACCGCCGUUGGCCGCGCGUCGCUCGGCGUUUCGAGCCGUCUUUGCCCCGCUUCUCGCCGUGGUGAGCAUCUCCUUCUCCCCCUCUUUCUCUCGGUGAUUCUUUCGCUCCGUUUCGUGGCCUCUAGGGCCUUGUUCGCGCGCACCGAGGGCGUCAACAAUGGUGUCGCCGUGGUCCGCACUGCGCGGGUCCUUCUCCGGCCGUGCUGAGCUCGGGAAUGAAUUCGUUUCGUUCUCCUCUUUCUCCCGGUACUCGCGGUUUCGAAUUUGGUGCACCGUAGCGCCCGAACGGCUUACUCCGGCGAGCUCCUCGCCGCCGGCAAUGGCUGCCGCCGCAACCUUCCCCAACUCCGGCCGCUAGUCCCCUCUCUCUCCCCUCCCAUCUAAUCUCGCCCGUUGAUCUUGAAUCUGACGGCCAGGAAAUGCCCAUACCCCUUCGGCCUGGAAAAUUUUCUAAAGAGACCCCCUAGUUUUCUAAUUUCUAUCCCGCAGUCCAAAGCGCAUAUGAGGGAAUACGCUUUCCAUUUUUGAAAACGUAAAGUCUGCCGAUUUAUUUCAAAAUACGUUUUCUAUAUUUACAAAAAUGCCACUGAGUAUGUUUUGGCCAUAAAAUAUUCGUUUUAGCUCCGAUUUGACCCGUUCAAAUUGCGUUAGAUUCGUUUUCGCGAGUUCAACAUGUUAGUAAUCUUGGUUCAUCAGUUUGAAACUUUUUAAUUUUGUGAUCCUAUUUAAUUAAUUACUUUUCUAAAGAAAAUCUUAGAAAAUUCAUAUCUUUUCCGUUUUAGCUCCGAUUCAAUCCAUUCAAGUUGCGUUAGUUUCAUAAUUUCGUAAGCUUCGCGUUAGUACCACUGUUGUUUAGGUUUACCACUGUUAGAUUUCCUAGUUAAUUACAAGUCCGUAGAUAGCCUUUGAAGUCUCGUUUAAUGUGUAGAUUUCGCGUCGUAACUCCGUUUUGCGUGAAUUUUGCGUUGACGUGAUCGUAGCAGCGUGUAGAUGAUUUUGGAAAGCUUUUAUUAAAUUUAUUUACUGCUGGUGUACUGUUCUAAUUGUAAUCUUGUUUGCUUCGUGUAUGUCUGUCUCCGAUUGCUUGUGUGUUGAUGAUUGGUGAUCGAGAUUAGACAGUGGGCAUUACUUCGGUGAUCAAGAUCAGAGCUCUGGAAGCAAGUAAGAUCAGCAGAACCAGUAGGAGCAAUUGGAUUCAAGGCAAGUAUAGCAUUUGGGUUUUAAUUCUAUGACUAUGAUCUUGUGACUAGAUUAAUAUAAAGCAACAAAUGAUAAUAAUGACUUUUUAGCAACUUGAGGAUUUAUUCGUAUGUGAUAACCGGGAUGAAAGUGCAACCAUGAGGGCUAUAAUGGCUCUGGCUUUAGUCAAGUAUGAGUAAUUUUUCUAGCUUGUUAGAGGUUACCCGUGUGGCGCAAAUGGGGGAUAGCAGACCGUGGAUUCCCUGCGAGUGGUAGAAUCACACGGACUGACUACCGAAACCAAGCGGCCCUAACUUGUUAGACGAACCUUUGAAAUACUUCAUAGUGAUCCCUGCCGACCUACCUUGGUAGUGGGUUACGAGACUGAUCACCUCAGGCGAAAGGGUAAAUCAUGACUCAUGGGUAAAGAUGUACAACCUCUGCAGAGUGUUAAAAACUGAUAUAGUAGCCGUGCUCACGGUCACGAGCGGCCUUGGGAACUCUUACAUUAAGGGUGAUGAAUCUUGUGUUAAGAAACUCAUUGAUUAUUGUUUAAUGCUCUAUAUUAUUUAUGUCACAUUGAUCAUGAGAUUGUGGGAUCUAUACAAUCUAGUUGUUAUACUUGUGGAGUUCGUCUUGAACUCACUCUUGCUAUCUCUCCCAUAUCUCAGGAGAAGUUUUGGGCUUGUGAUCAACCAGUCAGUUGGAUCCUGUAGAGUGAGGUUAACACCCGAAGUUUGGAGUUCACUUCCGUGUUUGCUGCCCAAGGUUGUUUCUAAUUUAUUAUCUACGCUAUAUAAUUUAUGCAUUGUCCUUUGAUAUUAUCCUUUAUUUGUAGCUAUAUGUGAGGCUUGUCUUCUAAAACUCACAUAUGGUGCAUAUCUGAUUUUGUUUUUAAAAUCGGAUGUUACAAUAUAAAGAGACACUAGUUGAAGGAAGGUCGCUGACUGCAAGCAGGUUGGCGGUGGUGGCGGGCAUAGAGCCGACAAUGCAAGGCUGCGUUGGUAUAUCACGUUGGUACGGUGGAAUAGGGUAGGCAGAGCAGAGCAGAGCAGAGCAGAGAGGGGCCGGCCGGGGUUCUAGACUUCUAGUGUCACUAAACAAGCCGCCAAUGACACGUACAGCGAGGAGGAGACGGCCGGUGUCAUGGCAUAUAAAUGAGUUAAUUUGCUAGCGGGGGUUGAGAAAAAAAAAUGAGCUAGUGUUUUUACCCCUGCAGCAGGUAAUUAAUAACUGUGUUUAUAUAUAUAGCCCCAGGUAAUAACAAGAGGUUAAACUUUCUUCAUUUGCAGGGUCGUCGUCCACACACAUCAUGUCAACGUUUUUAAUGAUAAGAUUUGAUUUUUUUAUACACGUGCCGACACGCUUCGUUCUCUUUGUAGGGACCCUUGCAUUGCAACAAGUUGAAUGGAAGGUAACUAAUUAAUUAAAAAGGCCAAGUGGCUUUUGUGAUAAGGGGGGUUGAAUAAUGAAUUAAAAAGAAUAGCAAUUGGAAUAGAAAUAAACUAAAAAGCUGGUGAUAAGGAAGCUAGGCUCGAUCUCCAGGUUGAGCACAAACAAACAAUAUGCAUGCUUGACCUUUUCUUGCUAUAUACAUAUACCACUAUAUAUCUACAUGCAUGCCCUACCUUUUGGCCCAAUCCUGAUUAACCUAGCAUUAUCUCAUCGUAAAAAAAAUUACAUCCACUAGCAGAGCAGCCAGUUAGUGGUCUAUUCACUACACAGCCUUGUUUAGUGCGCGUGAGUAGUGCAUGGAUGCCGGCUCUCUUUGUAUGUGUGUGUGUGUGUGUGUGGUAUAGCAGCGGUAUAUAGUAACAGGGACAGCAGGCCGGGAAACGGAUGCAUGGUGACCUCAUCACAUCACAUCCGUUAAAUAUUUGUUCCCCACUCACCAGCUCUUCUCGAAUUCUCGACCGUUCACCUUUACUUUUCUUGUUUUUCCUUAUUUCCAUAUGAACCAAAUUAAUUGGCAUUUUUUUUCUUUCAGAUGGCAACGGGUUCGAGAUGGAGAGAAAGCGAUGUUUUCUCUAGUCUAGUUGUUGAAUGCACGCAAGCAGGUAAUACCAUGUUCCUAUGAACCUUGUAGCGACUAAAAAUAUAUAUUUUUAAAUUAAUUAUGCUCAUAGACAUCAGAGGAUGUUUAAUUAGUAAGGCUCUUCCUGAGAAGCCUCUCCGAAGGAGCCGGGACCAUUUUAAAAGUGUGGUUUUUCCAAAACAGUUUCCACUUCUCUAUUUUUUUUAGAGAAAAAUGACUUCUCCAAAAAAAUAUUUAGAAGGGAUCCUUACAAGAGUUAAAGCCGGAGCGGAGAGAGGAUCCCUACUAAACAUAUUAUGACAAAAAAAUUAAUGGCAAAAAAGCGAGCACAUAUGUCACUACUGGAAACUGACUUUUUGCCUAGUGCCAGAGACUUUGCCGAGUGUCAAAUGUCGGACACUCGGCAAAGCCUUUCUUUACCGAGUGCAACGCUCGCUCGGCAAAGAAAAACACUCGGCAAAAAGGUCUUUGCCAAUAUUUUUUUUGCCGAGUGCAAUUAGGCCUUUGCCGAGUGCCUGGGGCAUUAGCCAAAGGCCCAGUCUCCAGUAGUGUGCUAGUCAGAGCUUGAAUACUAGAAUGAGCAGAUUACACAGCAACAAACUCUUCAAUUUAGGAUAAAUAUAUGUAUUUUUAAAGAAAGUACUAGUAUUAGUCGAAGUGUCAUGACGAAGAUUGUGUUAGGAACCAAUAUGCUUAACUAGUUAUUAAUUAAUUCACGUUAACUAACUUAUUUUGCCCCCAAAGAAAUGCGAAAGAAAUGACUUAUUCAGGAAUAAAUACGCGUUAGAUAAUAAAAGGUACAGCGUGAAAAAUACGGCCACUUACAUUUGUCUAUUCUUCAAAAUGCAAAUUCACACAACAGCUGAAUAAGUUCCAUCUUUCCCGCCGAUUAUCUGUACAUUUUGGAUUCUAUUAUUCUUGCCACUUUCUGUGGUACUGGAAAGUGAUAAAAAAAGGUUCAGCUCGAUUUUUUUUUGGGGGGGGGGGGGGGGAGGGGGCAGAAGAAAGGUCGGUAGAUUUCGAGGUUGACAAAUAAAGUUACAUUGAUAUCUCGAUAUUCAUAAACAUGUCACCUACAAUUAAAAGAAUAACGUUAUUAAAUUCUCAAAUAUAUAUUUAUGAAAAAUACAAACACUUGCGUCCAGUCAAUUUGGGUAAGCAGAUUUCACAAAGAAGCUAAACCAACUGACGCUCAGUUGGCCAAGAGAUGGUACUACGUACAUGCAUGACAAACGUGCUAGAGUUGCAGGGUGUUGAAAAUAAACUAAGACUAAACAAGAUUUUUUUAGAUAAUAAGACUAAACAAGAUAUUAAGUUACUCUAAAUAUGAUCACUAACUUAUUUUAAUGCUGCCUUUGUGCUUGAUGUAGAAAUUGAUGUAGAUGAAGUAGAUAUUAGUCUUCACUAGAUUGGGGCUUGACGCUCCUAAUUAGUGAAGAACGCGGUAGAUCUUGCAAUACUUGGACGGAUGUGGGUAGACGAUCUUCCUAAAUCUGGCGCCUAAUUGAUCGGUUACGUGGAUAAAGCCGUCAAGGAUGUCCCCUCUUAUUUAUAUAUAUGAUAUGAUGUGGGCUAGGGCUGAACCCUAGAAGAUCUAAGGAUUGCCACCGAUCAUAGUAAAUCUUAUUUAGUUGGAAAUGAAUGAUAGGUGGGUGGACUCAAAAACUUAACGCUUAAUUAAUCUCGAGGUUAGCUGAACUGAUCAUAUUCCAACAGGAGGGGGCUCUGGCUAUUCCAACUUGUGUACGGUACAUCAAAGCCGUUGUUUCUCUCUUCUGCAAAUGAAUUAGGAGCCAACAAGAGAAGCCACUAUUUUUAGAUCCUCUAGCUCCAGCUCCUCGACCAGUGUAGCAUCGAGCCAGAGUCAGAAGAAGUCUAGCCAAACAUGCCCUUAGAGGUAGGCCAUGUUUAGCAUGGCUUCACUUUUUAUUGAAGUCGUUUUUUCAGCUUCUUCACAAUCAACUCUUCCAGUGAAGCUAGAACUGUUUUAGACCAUAUUUGGCAAAACACCUCUCCACAUGUUAGAAAAAAUAUCUUCUAAACUUUAAAAUGACUAUUAUACCCAUCUCUUCCUCCUCUAUUUCCCCAUCUUCUUCUCUCCCCCGUGGCUUCUCUUUUCUCCGCACACCACACAUCGACUCGGCUACUUGUGAGCUCAAGAAGAUGGUUGCCGGUCAUGGUGACGGCCGGUCUAUCGUGUGCCUUGGUGUCCCAAGUCAUGACACCCGCAUGGCAGGGUCCACGAGUACAGAUUGGAGCCGGGUGAACAAAACAAUUGUUUUCAGCUCUACUCCACGUGAGAAUAGAUUUUAAGGGACUCUUCCGUGACCAUUGCGUUUUACUCUGUUCGGUACAAAAUAAUUCUAAAUAAUUCUUAAUGCCGGUGAAAAACCGUGCCACAGUGUUCAAGUUUCAGUAAAUUGUUUUCUUAAAUUUAGAAGAUGUGGAUAGAAUUAAAUGUUUAUUUAACUGAAUCAGUACCUAUAUAUCGACACGACGAUGCACUAUUACACAUGUACCAAUACAAGUUCAGGCAAAAUAAGGCCUCGUUUAGUUCACUCUAAAAACCAAAAACUUUUCAAGAUUUCCUGUCUCAACGAAUCUUGCGGUACAUACAUAGAGCAUUAAAUAUAGUCAAAAAUAAAAACUAAUUACACAGUUUACCUGUAAAUUACGUGAUAAAUCUUUUGAGCCUAAUUAGUUCAUGAUUGGACAAUAAUUGCUAAAUAAAAACGCAAAUGUUACAGUACCCGAAAUCAAAAAAAAAGGGAACUAAACAAGGCCUAAAUAAAUAAAUAUUUUUUAGGAAAAAAAGAAUUUGUUCUAAUAAUCUCCGCAUAUGUUAUAGAAUAUACUUUGUCAAUUAUUAUAUAUGAGAUCAAUCUCUUGCGGAUUAAAACAUGCUUUCAAAAAUUAAACGAGGAAAAGGAAAGAAACGGAAUUUACAAAACUGCUGUCAGCAGAACAUGGGUAAUUCUUAGUAGUAUAUAAAAGUUAUUACUUGGGCCUCCAUUCGAAACGUCAGUUUGGGCUGGGCCAUACGUCGCCAUCAUCCUCCGGGCACUCUCAUGCAUCCUCAUAGGAUGGCUGGGCCAUUCGGUCGAGGCAUGGCCUUUUUGUUUCAAACCUAUCCUGAAUUUUGGCUUAUCCUUGCCUGUGACGUGUAAACCUAUCCUGAAUUUUGGCCUAUCGUUGCAUGGUCAUCUUAGAAUUUGCAGCUCGAUGUUUACUCAAUGGUCGUGUCAUACGUCGCAAUUUGUCUUAAAAUCAAAUUCCACAACGUGUGCACACAGUUUUAGGACCUCUUAGAUCCCUUGGGUGUGUGUGCAUGCAUGCAGUGCACCCUGCUAGGGAUCGAUGUGUGGCCAAUGAGAUCUAUACACAUAUUUUCUAACCGUAUUUGAGACCAAAUUUAUUUAUAAGUGUUUAUAUGUGUCCAUAUCUAAGUCUAGAUAUUCAACAUCCGAUACUGUAUGCGUAUCUGAAUUCUCAAAUCACAUAUUUAUAAUGUCAAUAUCCAAUUAUAUCUUAUCUGGCAUGGUUGAUAUAUCUGUAUUGGAAUCCGAAUCCGGACAGAAAUAAAAAACAAAUAUAAUAUUAGUGAUAUCCGUCUGUAUUCGAUCCAUUUUUCAUCCCUACAUUCAUGCCUGCCUAUAUGAGGCUAAUAUAGGAUAUGUUUGGUUUUGAGCCGUGAGCCAUAAAUAAAAUAUCAUGAACUAUAUGAGCCGCGAAAAAAAUAAUUGUGAGUUAUGUGCAUUGAAAAGGUUAAAUUGUUUAGUUAAAACAACCGUGAAAACUAUCCACUCCCUUUAUCUCCCUUAAAAGAGCUAUAAAACAUCACUCUAUUUUCACCCAUUUGGAAAAAAAUUGAAAACCAAACAGCAAAAGCAAGGUCCAAGGUGUUGUAAAAAAUUUAAAACGCGAAAGCAACUGCUUCCACAAAAAGCGGCAGUUGUUCUGCCUUUUGCAGCAGAAACAUUUUUCGAGAAAAUGAACCAAAUAUAGCCACAACCUACCUCACCUAGAUAGCAGCAUCUUUCAUGUGAGAAUGUAAAUAUAUAUGCAUAUUUUUUCAUUAAUAUACAACAUAUUUUGGUGUGUGCAUUUCUACUACGGUUUUUAGCACGUAAGGAUGUUUAGGUAUUAAUGUAUUAUAGUGAAAUAGAGCACUCCCUUUUGUUCUUGCAAUUUCUGGAGCAGAGCAGUCAAGCAUCUAGAUAUCCCACUUGGCAUACAUACAUCCUCACGUCCUCGCUCUACUAUUUUUAUCAGUAGCCAAAAACCAAAGGCUCUGGAAUCCACAGUGCCAGGGUGGUGGACCUAUAUAUAGUCGUUUCCUAUGACCCCAUCACAAUCUCCUGCUACUUGAAACCAAUCCAUCCUAGCUUCCUUCUUGUCUCCCCUCCGUCAAGCAGUGUCACUCUCUAUCCCCAUGGGUAAUGUCGUCGUCAUUAAUUAUGCAAGCAUAGUUAGUUGUUGUGUUUCAAUUUUGGGAGUGGGUUGAUGGUGGUGAUAUGAUUUCUAUUGAUCUAAUGUGUUUCUUGGUUUGAUUGGUUUUUUGUUUAAAUUUGCUCCAUCUGGUGUGCAGCGAAGAUCAAGAUCGGGAUCAAUGGUGAGUUCUAUUCACAACCUCUUACAAAUUUGAUCGGUUUUGUUGGUCUAUUUGAGUUCUUAGUUUGCAUGGAUAUUUGGUUUGUGCAGGGUUUGGUAGGAUUGGUAGGCUUGUGGCGAGAGUGGCUCUGCAAAGCAGCGAUGUUGAGCUUGUCGCCGUCAACGACCCCUUCAUCAGCACUGAGUACAUGGUAUGUUUCGUCUCUCUAAUAUUUCACUUCUUCUAGUACUUAUGGGAGUGCAUGAAGUAUGAUUUGUUGAACCUACACGCUUGUUUGAUGGUAAUAUAUAUGUAUAGUUUAUAUGGUUUUGGUCUUGUUGGAUGGGGCCCAUGUUGGAUGGGAUGUAUAUAUGGGGUGUCAUGCACUAUAUUGAUCCAUGUUAAGGUUCAUCGAAAUUUUAUGAUCUGAUCGAAUUACAUCAGAUAUAUUCCAUUGUUGAAAUAUAUGUUUUGUGUAGAUCUUGAAUUCUCUAAAUCUUAUUAGUCCUACAUUUGGCAAGUUUGAUUAGCUUACCUACACCAAUUGAAUCUCAUCCUGUUCUUGCAGACAUACAUGUUCAAGUAUGACACUGUCCAUGGACAGUGGAAGCACCAUGAUGUCAAGGUGAAGGACUCGAAGACCCUUACUUUUGGUGAAAAUGAGGUUGUUGUGUUUGGUUGCAGGUUUGUUGCCAUUCCUUUUGAUAUUGUGUAUUUCAUACUGAAUUCAAUCGUGGGCUAAUCGGUCACGAACGACAUGUUUGCAGGAACCCUGAGGAGAUCCCGUGGGGUUCGGUUGGCGCUGAUUAUGUUGUUGAGUCUACUGGUGUUUUCACUGAACAGGACAAGGCUGCAGCUCACUUGAAGGUACAUUCUUCAUUAUUCCUAGUGUUUAGUUAUUCUAAGGUCUCCUUAUAUAUUAGUUCUUCCAAAGUGUUGAAAGGAUUUGGUUGUUUCUCUAUGUUCUUUUACAGGGUGGUGCUAAGAAGGUCAUCAUUUCUGCUCCUAGCAAGGAUGCACCCAUGUUCGUCGUCGGUGUUAACGAGAAGGAAUACAAGUCUGACAUUAACAUUGUCUCUAAUGCUAGCUGCACUACCAACUGCCUUGCUCCUCUUGCUAAGGUGCUUCUUGUUAUGAUGUUUUACCGCUGACAUAAACUGCUAUUUAGUUAGGAUUCUAUAUAUCACCUUACCCCGAUCAUUUGUAUUUGUUCUAUGUAGGUCAUCAAUGACAAGUUUGGCAUUGUGGAGGGUCUGAUGACCACCGUUCAUGCCAUCACUGGUAAGCUUAUUUUUUAAUAGAUUAAGAGGGAAAUUUGUGCAGUUAUAUAUUUCUUGUCUUUAAGUAAUGAGGCAUAUGUGGAUCUUACACAGCUACCCAAAAGACGGUUGAUGGGCCAUCAGCUAAGGACUGGAGAGGUGGAAGGGCUGCUAGCUUCAACAUCAUUCCCAGUAGCACCGGAGCUGCUAAGGUUAGGAAACUAAACUUGUUUCUUUUGCUUGUGUACUACACAAUAUGCUACAAUGUUAUUACCUUCAUGCUUUGCAUAAAAGAAAGUAUUGUAAUAAUGUAAAAUGGUGUAUAUAUAGUUAAUUUCAAAGUUUCUAAAAAAUAGAAACACAUCUUCCUACAUUUUUGUUAGAAUCACUUCUAUUUUGUGGAUUUAUUGAAUUUUAGUUUGUUACUACUUAAUUUCUUGUAGGCUGUUGGCAAAGUGCUUCCUGCCCUUAAUGGGAAGUUGACUGGAAUGGCUUUCCGUGUUCCUACCGUUGAUGUCUCUGUCGUUGAUCUGACUGUUAGGCUUGAGAAGUCAGCUACCUAUGAUGAGAUCAAGGCUGCGAUCAAGUGAGUUUUAGUUUAUGUAAUGGCCAGUGUUGGCCAACAUUCAAAUGCACAUUGAAUUGUUUUAGAUGGCCAUUCUGAUGUUCGUACAAACAUCUCCAUUAUUCUUCAUAGGGCCGAGGCAGAGGGUGCCCUCAAGGGCAUUUUGGGUUAUGUUGACGAGGACCUUGUUUCCACUGACUUCCUAGGUGACAACAGGUAUUGGUAUUAUACAUACUAUGAUCCAAUAACCUUUACCAUUUUGUGAUAAUCAUUCGUUAACUAUUAAUUAGGUCCCUCGCCCUACUUAUAUAUUUUUUUGGUAAUUGUCUCUCUCAAUCGCAGGUCUAGCAUCUUUGAUGCUAAGGCCGGCAUUGCUUUGAAUGGUAACUUCGUGAAGCUUGUGUCCUGGUAUGACAACGAGUGGGGAUACAGGUUAGUAGCCUGUACUGAGUGUGUUAUAUAUCUGGCAUUGGCUAGGGCUUUUGUCUGUGCACUUCAAUUUCGCUAAAUCCUAACUCGUUUUUUCUUUCAACUCUUUCCAGCACCCGUGUGAUCGACCUGAUCUGCCACAUGUACGGCACCAACUAGAUGAGCAAACUGAAAUCCAGGUUGAGUUGUGUUUCGUCAUCGGAGAAGUGUAGAGAGCCUCUUCUGAGAAUAAAUUUUGUAACGAAUUAUAGUGUGUGUAUAUGUAACCCAUUGGUUGGUUGAGUAUGUGGUGGCUCAUAUUUUGUCUGGUUUAUGUGCCAUCGUUAAACUUUUAACUGAUAGUUGCAUUCUCUCAUUUGUCUUUAUAUCCCGCUAUAGUUCCGCAUGCUUUCAGAAGUAGUAUUCAUUUCAUAUAUACAGUAGUAUUAGGCCCUGUUUGGUUCCCUUUGCUAAAUUUUAGUUAGCUAAAUUUUAAUCACUUUAGUAGCUAAAGCUCCAAACACAUUGACUAAAAGGAGCUAAAAUAGUUUAGUUCAUUAGUCACCCAAAAGUAGCUAAAAUAAUUUUAGCUAGCUAAAAUUUAGCAAGGGGAACCAAACAUACCCUUAUAAUCAUUAUUAUUACUUUGGCGGUUUCCUGUUGGGCCUCCAGGAUUUCGAAAGAUCAGUUUGGGCUGGGCCGCAGGUCCAUGCAUCCACGAAUCAUGGAUGAACCGUUCGGGGGGCCAUGUAUAUAUGGCAUCCCCUGCCAAUUUGCACACACCAACGGAUUUCUGAGAUGCAGAAUCUCUCAUAAAAAAAACCAUCAGAGUCCUAUUUUAAAUCAUCCUCUCCUGCCACUUUGCACACACCAAUGCAAAACUCUGAUUUCUGAGAUGUAUAAUUCAGCAAACUAACUAAGCUUUAGGCCUAACAAUAAUAAUAGCAUAUUGCUUGUGAUGGCAUAGUUGAUAGUUACACUAUUCUUGUUAUGCAACCCAUCCUGAAUAAUGAGGCCUAGAAGUCAUCAGAGUCCUAUUUCAAAUCAGAAGUUUUCACUGGCUGGAAGAUGGUUGGAAGUCAUCAGAGUCCAACUUGGCUCUAUACAAAUGCCCUUAGCUAGCUUCUGGAGACUUGAGGAAGUCAUGAGUGAGUCAGCAGUAUACCCAAUAACCCAACCUCUGAUUGUGCAGCAUGCAGCUAAGUCCUCCUGCUGCCUAAAAAACAGCACACACAAGAAAACAAAGAUCGACAAGAAGAAAUAAGAUCCUCUGUCUCACUGAUGAUCUUUCCACGUCUACCUGCCGCAGG
RNAcentral lists this long non-coding RNA (24336 nucleotides) under Sorghum bicolor (sorghum). RNAcentral's name for it is "long non-coding RNA (SBIC_LNC015293)". Lineage: Eukaryota; Viridiplantae; Streptophyta; Magnoliopsida; Poales; Poaceae. The record is from RNAcentral.